UAGGGAAUCUUCGGCAAUGGGGGCAACCCUGACCGAGCAACGCCGCGUGAGUGAAGAAGGUUUUCGGAUCGUAAAGCUCUGUUGUAAGAGAAGAACGUGUGUGAGAGUGGAAAGUUCACACAGUGACGGUAACUUACCAGAAAGGGACGGCUAACUACGUGCCAGCAGCCGCGGUAAUACGUAGGUCCCGAGCGUUGUCCGGAUCUAUUGGUCGUAAAGCGAGGGCAGGCGGUUUAAUAAGUCUGAAGUUAAAGGCAGUGGCUUAACCAUUGUUCGCUUUGGAAACUGUUAAACUUGAGUGCAGAAGGGGAGAGUGGAAUUCCAUGUGUAGCGGUGAAAUGCGUAGAUAUAUGGAGGAACACCGGUGGCGAAAGCGGCUCUCUGGUCUGUAACUGACGCUGAGGCUCGAAAGCGUGGGGAGCAAACAGG
RNAcentral lists this ribosomal RNA (429 nucleotides) under bacterium. Its description in RNAcentral is "partial 16S ribosomal RNA". It matches the Rfam family "Bacterial small subunit ribosomal RNA", at positions 355 to 776 of the family's 1533-position model. The record is from RNAcentral.